CUCUCCAUCUCUGCGCUGCUGCCGGCUGCGCCAUCCAGCACCCAGACUCCAGCACCGGCCGAGGACCCCCACUCCGGCUGCAGGGACCCUGUCCCAGCGAGACCGCAGGCAUGUCAUCCGAAAAGUCAGCCAUAUGCAGGCGGGACCCCGGGGGGAACAGGAGUGACCUCCACUCUCCCCCCGCCGCCCCAGGGCCCAGGGCUGGCCCUACUGGAGCCGAGGCGCCCGCCACACGACUACAUGCCCAUCGCGGUGCUGACCACCAUCUGUUGCUUCUGGCCUACUGGCAUCAUUGCCAUCUUCAAGGCCGUGCAGGUGCGCACGGCCUUGGCCCGCGGAGACAUGGUGUCGGCCGAGAUCGCUUCACGCGAGGCCCGGAACUUCUCCUUCAUCUCCCUGGCCGUGGGCAUCGCGGCCAUGGUGCUCUGUACCAUCCUCACCGUAGUCAUCAUCAUCGCCGCGCAGCACCACGAGAACUACUGGGAUCCCUAAAAACGCCCCUGGUCCGGCCCCACUCUGCGCCCCUCGAUCUCCCAGGCUCUUUCUGCAGUCAUACCGCGGACCCAAUGGGCGCCCUGCACACCCGUUUCUGGGGCCGUCAGACUUGGAUACAUCGUAAACUCCGCCUCCACGGAACGUCUCGCCUUGCGAGCAAGCUCGGAAUCCAGUUCCUCAGGAACCCCUCCAAAACCCACACCCCCAGGGACGCCGCUUUCCGGGAUCCCGGCCAAACGCCGGACCCUCAGUCGCUCCAGGCCCCCUCACCCUCAAAGUGUAGCGCCCCCAACCGAGCAACCUCGGUUUGGUCCCUAAAACCCCGCCUCCUCUAUAAGCACCGCCCCAGCUCUGACAAAACCCCGCCUCCAGGUCGGCAGGCUCCGCCUUCUUUUCUUCUCCGCGGGGUGAUUCAGUCCAGUGAUUGGGUUUGUGGCUCCAGGCCUCGCCCACAGACGGACAGACCCCUCCCUUUCUUCCGGCAAAAGGACCGAGCCCUGGGGUAGUAAGGCCCCCACACUCCUGUUUUUUGCAAGUACAUUUUUGUCCCUCCUCCACCCAGGUAUCUGCCUAUUUUCUUGCUAAUCCCAGAACCUUUCCUUUUGCUUUUUUUAAGGACAUUUGGGAAGUUCCUGGUGUAGGACCCUUCUCCCUGGGAUAAGAAACCUGCCUGUAAACGCUCUGUAAAUACUCCCUUCCACCCAUCCCAGCCCCUGGGCAGCCGGGCAGAAGGGAAUCCAGGCUAUGGACCUCCCAAGUCCCCGCUCCCCGCUCCCCUCGGCGGCCCCGCCUUGUUCUGAUCUGUGUGUGAGUGUGUGUGAACUUCUGAAAGACAAUAUUAAAGAGACUUAGUUGAUUUA
This 1355-nucleotide unclassified non-coding RNA is filed under the name Homo sapiens (human). Its description in RNAcentral is "proline rich transmembrane protein 1 (multiple genes)". Lineage: Eukaryota; Metazoa; Chordata; Mammalia; Primates; Hominidae. The record is from RNAcentral.